AGAAGUCCACUGAACCUUAUCAUUCAGAGGAAGGAGAAGUCAUAACAAGGUUUUCAUAGGUGAACCUACGGAAGGAUCAUUGUCAAAAAUUGCUAAGAAGAGCGACCUAUGAACUUGUUGAAAUAAAUCAUCAGGGGUGCAGCGCCUAAUGUGGUUCAGUAACCUCAACUGCCAACCGAGCCCACACCUUAUAGUUUGCUCCAGGAGCAGCGAUGGGCUUUGCGAGUUAGGCUUGGCACAAGAACGAACCCCGACGUGGAUCGCACCAAGGAACAAUAACAUAGCAUGCGUUGCCUUGCCGCCAAAUGCCCUGUGAGUGAGGUAGUGACCUAUUGUAUCUAAACGACUCUCGGCAAUGGAUAUCUCGGCUCUUACAUUGACAAAGAAUGUACAGAAAUGUGAUACUUAGUGUGUAUUGUGGAAUCCCAUGAACCAUCGAGUCUUUGAACGCAAGUUGCGCCCAAAGCAUCUUGGCUAGGGAAUGUUUUCCUUUUGCAUCACAGAUAGCGUCACCCCCAACCAAGCCAUUGUGUCUCUGCAUGCUAGGAUUGGGCGGAGAGUUUCCUCCCAAGCGUUUUUGUGCGGCUGGCCUAAAAUUGGAGGGCAGUGACUGUGCCACAACGUUUGGUGGUCGACAAGGUGAAGGCCAAGGUUGCAUCGUGUUGCGCUCAGCACGUCACCUAUGAAGUUUGCAUGACUUCGCCGCGUCGUCCGUAUGACACCAACACAACUACCCCAAGUCAGGCGGGGCUACCUGCUAAGUUUAAGCAUAUCAAUAAGUGAAGAAAAAGAAACUUACAAGAAUUCCUCUAGUAAUGGCGACUGAACUAGCAAGUGCCUAGCUUUAGAAUCAGGCGGCUUUGUCGUCUGAAUUGUAGUCUGGAGAAGCG
This 890-nucleotide ribosomal RNA is filed under the name Nepenthes ampullaria. RNAcentral describes it as "eukaryotic LSU rRNA". The stretch from base 731 to 890 matches the Rfam family "Eukaryotic large subunit ribosomal RNA", at positions 1 to 160 of the family's 3401-position model. Lineage: Eukaryota; Viridiplantae; Streptophyta; Magnoliopsida; Caryophyllales; Nepenthaceae. The record is from RNAcentral.